AUAAAUCGGCCUUUAUCCAUACACAGAAUAUAGUAUACAUCCAAUUGUUUGAUAAAUGUCCCUUUUGGAGUAAUGGAUUUAAUUUAAAAAGGCGCCGAUUCGUCGACGUAUAUGCUCCCGAAGGCAAGGAUAAAAACGAUUCAAUAAAUUUUCAAAUGUUUCGAAUUGCGAUCAAGAAUUCAAGGUGACGUAAGGUGAAAACUAUUUGAAGCGAAACUCUGGUGUAGAUACCAUGAUGGCAUUACAGGAUCUACUUAGGUCUGAAAAGUGAUUUGUGCUAUACUACAGUCAACUAAAGACUUCUUUGUCACCCACGUAUGAGAACAUUGAACCAUACCACGCUUGCCUUCGCAUGGAUAGAUUUGAAUACAGUCAUAUUAAAAGUUAAAGUGAAAAGAUUUAUAUAUUUGGCGUAAAGUUUUUGCUACCAAUAGGAAGUACGUACAUGUUUUGUUCUUUACGGAAUGUCUUUUUAAAUACAAUUAUGUACAAGUGCCCUGCUCUGCCAUCAAACUUCACGAUUUUAUGUUAGACUGUUGCUGUACAUUACAUUAUCAAUAAA
Long non-coding RNA from Xenia sp. Carnegie-2017, 562 nucleotides. RefSeq lists it as uncharacterized. Lineage: Eukaryota; Metazoa; Cnidaria; Anthozoa; Malacalcyonacea; Xeniidae. The record is from RefSeq and is a predicted model, not a curated record. The transcript has 3 exons.